GCACUGUUAAAUGAACUAUUCUGGCCAAACUGUUACCAUGGAAGACCCCAUAAAUAGUCCAGAGCAUGGCAGUAUCAAAUGGCUCUCAGACUAAGUGUCCCUGGGCAGAGACCAUACUGGACCUGGAACCUUGCAAACAGCGUUUAAACAAGGCUGUAGAAAGACUGGUUCAGAUUACAACCAGAGCCUGGUGAGGGCUCAAAAACUCACACAGCUCGCCACUGUUGUACACAGAAGCAUGGAAGCAGCUUUCUAGAGGACAGUGCUCCUUGAAUGUAAAUCAGCAGUGCCAAAAAGAUGACAAAGACAAUUGCACCUCCUGCAAUGCUCCCGAUGAGAACAAUGUCCAGCGGCCCUAGCUCAGAGAGAAGGAGGAGAUGUCACAGAGAGAGAAUAAAACUCCAAAGUCUGGAAUUUAGUCCCAGUGAUCUGGAGGAUGUACACAUGUGAAGCUUAUGACAUGGAUAACGAUGAUGAUAUGAAAACCUAGUUAUAUAGCAUCUUUUGUCCCAGCAUCUCAAAGCAUUUUCACAAACAAUAAAUUAAGACUCAUAACACCCAUCUGAGAUAAUGUUAAGUAUUAUUAUCCCCAUUUUACAGAGGGGGAAAUUGAGGCACAAACAAGGCUAAACCACUAACUUAUGGUCAAAGAAAACUUGGUGGGAAGGAGAAUUUUUUCAUGAAACAGAGUUAUGAAAUGUAUGUAUGAUGUGCUUUGUUUGAUGAAAGUUCUAGGGAAAGUUUGAGGCAGAAUUCACAGGUGUGCCAAGGAGUUUUACUUAAGCACAAUAGGUGUCAGACCUCAAAAGUCUUGUUCUAGAUUGACACACAAAGAUCUGAGUGCCCUUCUGGCCUUUUAAGGACUUUCAAAAUGCUUUGACUGGGCAAAAGUAGGACUCAGAGUCUGACAAAAACCAGACUUUUUCAGGAGCCGGAAAUACUGUGAGAACAGCUUGUCUUGUGGUAUUUCAGAGCUUGCUCUGCUAGCUUUGGCUGGAACUCGAAACAAGUGUUACACAAUAAUUAACAAUAGUGAAGAAACAAAAAAAACUAACCAGACUUUAUGUAGCCUCAAAACAAAAGUUUGGUUUGAUCUGAGGGUGAAGGUUGAUGGGAUUGUUCCUUAUUUUAGCCAAAUAGGCUUGCUUGUAUCUCCACUUCCCCCCUCCAGCACCACAUCUCUUUGGGA
Long non-coding RNA from Mauremys mutica (yellowpond turtle), 1189 nucleotides. RefSeq lists it as uncharacterized. The transcript has 3 exons. NCBI's taxonomy places the organism in Eukaryota, Metazoa, Chordata, Testudines, Geoemydidae. The record is from RefSeq and is a predicted model, not a curated record.